Molecule: ribosomal RNA, 484 nt
Filed under: uncultured bacterium
Lineage: Bacteria
Description: partial 16S ribosomal RNA
Rfam family: Bacterial small subunit ribosomal RNA
Source: RNAcentral
AUUGAACGCUGGCGGCAUGCUUUACACAUGCAAGUCGAACGGCAGCGCGGGCUUCGGCCUGGCGGCGAGUGGCGAACGGGUGAGUAAUGCAUCGGAACGUGCCCAGUAGUGGGGGAUAGCCCGGCGAAAGCCGGAUUAAUACCGCAUACGACCUGAGGGUGAAAGCGGGGGACCGAAGGGCCUCGCGCUAUUGGAGCGGCCGAUGUCGGAUUAGCUAGUUGGUGGGGUAAAGGCUUACCAAGGCGACGAUCCGUAGCUGGUCUGAGAGGACGACCAGCCACACUGGGACUGAGACACGGCCCAGACUCCUACGGGAGGCAGCAGUGGGGAAUUUUGGACAAUGGGGGCAACCCUGAUCCAGCCAUGCCGCGUGCGGGAAGAAGGCCUUCGGGUUGUAAACCGCUUUUGUUCGGGAAGAAAUCCUCUGGGCUAAUACCCCGGGGGGAUGACGGUACCGGAAGAAUAAGCACCGGCUAACUACGUG